Molecule: ribosomal RNA, 389 nt
Filed under: uncultured bacterium
Lineage: Bacteria
Description: bacterial SSU rRNA
Rfam family: Bacterial small subunit ribosomal RNA
Source: RNAcentral
GGACGAACGCUGGCGGCGUGCUUAACACAUGCAAGUCGAGCGGUAAGGCCCUUUCGGGGGUACACGAGCGGCGAACGGGUGAGUAACACGUGGGUGACCUGCCUUUAGCUCUGGGAUAAGCCUGGGAAACUGGGUCUAAUACCGGAUAUGACCCUAUGGCGCAUGUUGUGGGGUGGAAAGCCUUGUGCGGCUAGGGAUGGGCCCGCGGCCUAUCAGCUUGUUGGUGGGGUGAUGGCCUACCAAGGCGACGACGGGUAGCCGGCCUGAGAGGGCGACCGGCCACACUGGGACUGAGACACGGCCCAGACUCCUACGGGAGGCAGCAGUGGGGAAUCUUGCGCAAUGGGCGAAAGCCUGACGCAGCGACGCCGCGUGAGGGAUGACGGCCU